CCUACGGGGGGCAGCAGUGAGGAAUAUUGGUCAAUGGACGAGAGUCUGAACCAGCCAAGUAGCGUGAAGGAUGACUGUCCUAUGGGUUGUAAACUUCUUUUAUCUGGGAAUAAAGUCUUCCACGUGUGGGAGUUUGUGUGUACCAUAAGAAAAAGCAUCGGCUAACUCCGUGCCAGCAGCCGCGGUAAUACGGAGGAUCCGAGCGUUAUCCGGAUUUAUUGGGUUUAAAGGGUGCGUAGGGGGGUUGUUAAGUCAGGUGUGAAAGUUUGGGGCUCAACCGUAAGAUGGCAGUUGAAACUGGCAGUCUUGAGUACAGGAGAGGUAGGCGGAAUGCGUGGUGUAGCGGUGAAAUGCUUAGAUAUCACGAAGAACUCCGAUUGCGAAGGCAGCUCACUGG
RNAcentral lists this ribosomal RNA (397 nucleotides) under uncultured bacterium. RNAcentral describes it as "partial 16S ribosomal RNA". It matches the Rfam family "Bacterial small subunit ribosomal RNA", at positions 338 to 732 of the family's 1533-position model. The record is from RNAcentral.